AGUCGCGUGGUCUAAUGGUCAUGAUUUCUGAUUCACAUGUCUCGGCGUAUGCUCUCAGAAGGUUCCCGGUUCGAUCCCGGGCGCGACUA
RNAcentral lists this transfer RNA (89 nucleotides) under Penicillium oxalicum. Its description in RNAcentral is "tRNA-Val". The record is from RNAcentral. Lineage: Eukaryota; Fungi; Ascomycota; Eurotiomycetes; Eurotiales; Aspergillaceae.